UUUGGUGAUGAUGGCAGAGAGGUCACACCCGUUCCCAUACCGAACACGGAAGUUAAGCUCUCUAGCGCCGAUGGUAGUUGGGACCUUGUCCCUGUAAGAGUAGGACGUCGCCAAGC
RNAcentral lists this ribosomal RNA (116 nucleotides) under Bacillus cereus. The record is from RNAcentral. RNAcentral also lists the same sequence under 3 other names. Lineage: Bacteria; Bacillati; Bacillota; Bacilli; Caryophanales; Bacillaceae.